ACAGGGAUCCCUAGUACGGCGAGUGAGCGGGAACAGCUCAAUUUGAAAUCUGGCCCUUGGGUCCGAGUUGUAAUUUGUAGAGGAUGCUUUUGGUGCGGUGCCUUCCGAGUUCCCUGGAACGGGACGCCUUAGAGGGUGAGAGCCCCGUACGGUUGGACGCCUAGCCUCUGUAAAGCUCCUUCGACGAGUCGAGUAGUUUGGGAAUGCUGCUCUAAAUGGGAGGUAUAUUUCUUCUAAAGCUAAAUACUGGCCAGAGACCGAUAGCGCACAAGUAGAGUGAUCGAAAGAUGAAAAGCACUUUGAAAAGAGGGUUAAAUAGCACGUGAAAUUGUUGAAAGGGAAGCGUUUAUCACCAGACUUUUUCUGGGGGGAUCAUCCGGUGUUCUCACCGGUGCACUUCCCCCAGUUGAGGCCAGCAUCGGUUUUCGGAGGGGGAUAAAAGUUUCGGGAAUGUGACUCCCUCGGGAGUGUUAUAGCCCGUUACAUAAUACCCUUCUGGGGACCGAGGUUCGCGCAUCUGCAAGGAUGCUGGCAUAAUGGUGAUCAACGACCCGUCUUGAAACACGGACCAAGGAGUCGAACAUUUAUGCGAGUGUUUGGGUGUUAAACCCUCACGCGUAAUGAAAGUGAACGGAGGUGAGAGCCCUUACGGGUGCAUCAUCGACCGAUCCUGAUGUCUUCGGAUGGAUUUGAGUAAGAGCAUAACUGUUCGGACCCGAAAGAUGGUGAACUAUGCGUGGAUAGGGUGAAGCCAGGAGAAAUCCUGGUGGAGGCUCGCAGCGGUUCUGACGUGCAAAUCGAUCGUCAAAUCU
This 812-nucleotide ribosomal RNA is filed under the name Nigrospora sp. MW-2017a. RNAcentral's name for it is "eukaryotic LSU rRNA". It matches the Rfam family "Eukaryotic large subunit ribosomal RNA", at positions 68 to 912 of the family's 3401-position model. The record is from RNAcentral. Lineage: Eukaryota; Fungi; Ascomycota; Sordariomycetes; Amphisphaeriales; Apiosporaceae.